GUCACACGCAAGCGCUCCGAGUAUUUCGAUGAAGUGACAUAACUACGCUUAUAAACAAAAACAAAUAAAAACAAAAUGAGGAAAAAACAGGCUUAUCUCAAACAAUUUUGUAAAAUGGGCACAGUGUGACAAUAGAGCCUGCAACCACUGGGUACACCUGUCAUUUUGUACAGAAAUUAAAGUCAUCAGAAGAGGUGCAACAUUUAUGUGCCCAUGCUGUGCUAAAGAAGAGUGAAAAUUGUUCUUAAGAAAAGUGAAAGAAACAUGUUCAAUUGUAUUUAUAAAAUAUUGAAAACAUA
Molecule: long non-coding RNA, 299 nt
Organism: Dreissena polymorpha
Lineage: Eukaryota; Metazoa; Mollusca; Bivalvia; Myida; Dreissenidae
Exons: 2
Source: RefSeq, a predicted model, not a curated record